RNAcentral lists this ribosomal RNA (489 nucleotides) under uncultured bacterium. RNAcentral describes it as "partial 16S ribosomal RNA". It matches the Rfam family "Bacterial small subunit ribosomal RNA", at positions 30 to 507 of the family's 1533-position model. The record is from RNAcentral.
UUGCACGCUGGCGGCAGGCCUAACACCUGCAAGUCGCACGGUAACAGGAAACAGCUUGCUGUUUCGCUGACGAGUGGCGGACGGGUGAGUAAUGUCUGGGAAACUGCCUGAUGGAGGGGGAUAACUACUGGAAACGGUAGCUAAUACCGCAUAACGUCGCAAGACCAAAGAGGGGGACCUUCGGGCCUCUUGCCAUCGGAUGUGCCCAGAUGGGAUUAGCUAGUAGGUGGGGUAACGGCUCACCUAGGCGACGAUCCCUAGCUGGUCUGAGAGGAUGACCAGCCACACUGGAACUGAGACACGGUCCAGACUCCUACGGGAGGCAGCAGUGGGGAAUAUUGCACAAUGGGCGCAAGCCUGAUGCAGCCAUGCCGCGUGUAUGAAGAAGGCCUUCGGGUUGUAAAGUACUUUCAGCGGGGAGGAAGGGAGUAAAGUUAAUACCUUUACUCAUUGACGUUACCCGCAGAAGAAGCACCGGCUAACUCCGUG